This 253-nucleotide ribosomal RNA is filed under the name uncultured bacterium. Its description in RNAcentral is "partial 16S ribosomal RNA". It matches the Rfam family "Bacterial small subunit ribosomal RNA", at positions 524 to 776 of the family's 1533-position model. The record is from RNAcentral.
AACGUAGGAGGCAAGCGUUAUCCGGAUUUACUGGGCGUAAAGCGCACGUAGGCGGACUAUUAAGUCGGGGGUGAAAUCCCGGGGCUCAACCCCGGAACUGCCUUUGAUACUGGUAGUCUCGAGUCCGGAAGAGGUGAGUGGAAUUCCGAGUGUAGAGGUGAAAUUCGUAGAUAUUCGGAGGAACACCAGUGGCGAAGGCGGCUCACUGGUCCGGUACUGACGCUGAGGUGCGAAAGCGUGGGGAGCAAACAGG